GCAUAAACUUGAAAAUAAGAAACCCACAUAAAUUUUCUGACACACGAGAGUGACAGCGACCACAUCCGCUGCAAGAGUGAAGGAAAGCCGACGGACUAAGUGAAAAUCGGGCUGACCUGUGGCUCAUCGCGUGUGUUACCGUCGCAUGCUCGCAAAAAAAGGUGAACCGGAACGCAUUGACCGGCAUCAUCAAAGAUGCACAGAAGAAGCUUGACAGAACACAGAAUUAGCGCGGCAAAUUGAGUUCUGGAACAACCACACAACGUGUGUUAGUUUGGCGCAAGCAUCGUAAUUCCGGGGGGCCAGACAUCCAGCACCAGUGUCGAUUACCACACGAUCGAACGACUGGGGGAGCGCACUGAGGGGAUAUCGCACGGCGUCGUUCUUUCCGGACACGGUCCGCAUCCGACCAACAGAAGUAUUUUCCCAGGAAGCUAAAGUGAACACACAUUGUUGGCGAUCGGAGAAGCAAACUGACGGGAUCCCGCACGCCAUCACUCUUUCGGAACGUGGUCCAUAUUUGAGCAACAGAAGAGCCUUCCCAGGAAGGCUCUUUUGUAUUUUCUGCAGCUAGACACGCUGAUCAAGAGCCACGGCUCCCCGAAAGAGAAGCAAAGAGCGACGACGAUUGUGGUGAAGGACUACCAAGGGUCAGAUCCGAGGGAUCCGAGUAAGGACCACACUGCGUGAGAGGUAGGAGGCGAAAAGCGUUCGAGUGGCGUAAACCAGCUCAUUCGAGAGGCGGUGUGCACGGAUCACACUCGGUCAGCUCCUAGCAGCGGUGGCGAGGCAAAUCUAAUUCUUCUUCGGCCGACAUAGCGCCCCAGCUGCGAGGUACCCGCGGAUCGCCGAGCUCUUGAUACAGACAGGAGUCCCCAACUCACCUUCGACGGGCAGGUCUGGCUGAUGACAGGUAUGCGGAGAGACGCACGAAGCAAAGGUAGCAGUAGACGUGAGUGCUAGGAUUGAGAACAUGUAAAAAGGAAGAAAAGAAGCAUGCAUAGUGAGCAGGAGAGUAGGGCCGCAGAAAGAAGCAUGAAGGGUAUGAAGCACAAUAAUAAAAUGUUUGCACACUAAGUCUUGUUUUGUGGCGUUUGUAGUUGACUAACCCGGCCGACUAAUCCCCUUUUCGUCACGGAGAGGUCGUUUCACAACACAUGAUCAACGAAGAGUUUUGAAUCUACGAAAGGAAGAAACGGGGACAGGUAUCAACCAAGUCAGCGGUAAAGGUGCAAAUCCGUCUGAGCGACAUUGACUGAUACAGGCGUGGGUCUAGAACGCAGUGGUAGUUUGUUACAUGGGGGUCACUACGAAAAACUACCGAAGCAACGCGACCGGGGGACGCGGUAAAACCUCCUAUUGGGCUCGUAGUGAUUUAGGAUUCGGAAAUGUUUCCUUUUCUCAAACGUAGCAGUCAGUAUCCACUGUUCUCGUUCUUCUUAUUAGCCAACUUUAGUUUGUACAUUUUGUUACAUGUAAGAUCUCUAGUUUUAUUGUAGCUCCUAAAACUAGUGUAGAUCAAUUUU
Armigeres subalbatus is the source of this 1526-nucleotide long non-coding RNA. RefSeq lists it as uncharacterized. The transcript has 3 exons. Lineage: Eukaryota; Metazoa; Arthropoda; Insecta; Diptera; Culicidae. The record is from RefSeq and is a predicted model, not a curated record.